UACAGAGGGUGCGAGCGUUAAUCGGAAUUACUGGGCGUAAAGCGUGCGUAGACGGUUAUGUGAGUCAGGUGUGAAAGCCCCGGGCUCAACCUGGGAAUUGCAUUUGAGACUGCAUAGCUAGGGUGCGGAAGAGGGAAGCGGAAUUUCCGGUGUAGCGGUGAAAUGCGUAGAUAUCGGGAGGAACACCGGUGGCGAAGGCGGCGACCUGGGUAGAUACUUACGCUGAGGCGCGAAAGCGUGGGGAGCAAACAGG
RNAcentral lists this ribosomal RNA (253 nucleotides) under uncultured bacterium. Its description in RNAcentral is "partial 16S ribosomal RNA". It matches the Rfam family "Bacterial small subunit ribosomal RNA", at positions 524 to 776 of the family's 1533-position model. The record is from RNAcentral.